CUGCAAGUCGAGCGGUAACAUGGUUAGUAGCAAUACUAACUGAUGACGAGCGGCGGACGGGUGAGGAACACGUAGGAACCUGCCCAAGAGAGGGGGACAACCAAGGGAAACUUUGGCUAAUACCGCAUAAUCUCUGGCGAGAAAAGUUGCCCGUAAGGGUAGCGCUUUUGGAGGGGCCUGCGUCCGAUUAGUUAGUUGGUGAGGUAACGGCUCACCAAGACGAUGAUCGGUAACUGGUCUGAGAGGACGACCAGUCACACUGGGACUGAGACACGGCCCAGACUCCUACGGGAGGCAGCAGUGGGGAAUCUUGGACAAUGGGGGCAACCCUGAUCCAGCGAUGCCGCGUGGGUGAAGAAGGCCUUCGGGUUGUAAAGCCCUUUAGGCUGGGAAGAAGUGUGCGGGGUGAAUAAUCCUGUACGUUGACUGUACCAGCAGAAUAAGCACCGGCAAACUCUGUGCCAGCAGCCGCGGUAAUACAGAGGGUGCGAGCGUUAAUCGGAUUUACUGGGCGUAAAGGGCGCGUAGGCGGUUGAAUGAGUGUGAUGUGAAAGCCCCGGGCUUAACCUGGGAAGUGCAUCGCAAACGAUUCGACUGGAGUAGAUGAGAGGGUGGUGGAAUUUCCGGUGUAGCGGUGAAAUGCGUAGAGAUCGGAAGGAACGUCAAUGGCGAAGGCAGCCACCUGGCAUCAUACUGACGCUGAGGCGCGAAAGCGUGGGGAGCGAACAGGAUUAGAUACCCUGGUAGUCCACGCCGUAAACGAUGAGAACUAAAUGUUGGAGGGGGAACCUUCAGUAUUGAAGCUAACGCGAUAAGUUCUCCGCCUGGGAAGUACAGUCGCAAGACUGAAACUCAAAAAGAAUUUGACGGGGGCUCGCACAAGCGGUGGGAGCAUGUGGUUUAAUUUCGAUGCAACGCGAAGAUCUUUACCUACCCUUGACAUCCUGCGAAUCCCGAUGAGAGUUGGGGAGUGCCGCAAGGAACGCAGAGACAGGU
This 996-nucleotide ribosomal RNA is filed under the name uncultured bacterium. RNAcentral's name for it is "bacterial SSU rRNA". It matches the Rfam family "Bacterial small subunit ribosomal RNA", at positions 55 to 1039 of the family's 1533-position model. The record is from RNAcentral.